Molecule: non-coding RNA, 88 nt
Organism: Immersiella caudata
Lineage: Eukaryota; Fungi; Ascomycota; Sordariomycetes; Sordariales; Lasiosphaeriaceae
Source: the annotation of a GenBank genome assembly
UCGGAUAUGGUGAAGUGGCCAACAUCGCUGACUCUCAAGUUCGACCCUGAGUCCUCAGCAGCCCGGGGUUCGAUCCCCCGUUUCCGAG